Molecule: ribosomal RNA, 422 nt
Filed under: uncultured Sphingobacteriaceae bacterium
Lineage: Bacteria; Pseudomonadati; Bacteroidota; Sphingobacteriia; Sphingobacteriales; Sphingobacteriaceae
Description: bacterial SSU rRNA
Rfam family: Bacterial small subunit ribosomal RNA
Source: RNAcentral
UAAGGAAUAUUGGUCAAUGGAGGCAACUCUGAACCAGCCAUGCCGCGUGCAGGACGACUGCCCUCUGGGUUGUAAACUGCUUUUAUACGGGAAUAACCCCAGUUACGUGUAACUGGCUGAAUGUACUGUAAGAAUAAGGAUCGGCUAACUCCGUGCCAGCAGCCGCGGUAAUACGGAGGAUCCAAGCGUUAUCCGGAUUUAUUGGGUUUAAAGGGUGCGUAGGCGGCCAAAUAAGUCAGAGGUGAAAGACGGUAGCUCAACUAUCGCAGUGCCUUUGAAACUGUUCGGCUUGAAUAUACUUGAGGUGGGCGGAAUGUGACAAGUAGCGGUGAAAUGCAUAGAUAUGUCACAGAACCCCGAUUGCGAAGGCAGCUCACUAAGGUAUUAUUGACGCUGAUGCACGAAAGCGUGGGGAUCAAACA